UACAGAGGGUGCGAGCGUUGUUCGGAAUUAUUGGGCGUAAAGGGCGCGUAGGCGGUGCGGUAAGUCACCUGUGAAACCUCUGGGCUUAACUCAGAGCCUGCAGGCGAAACUACCGUGCUGGAGUGUGGGAGAGGUGCGUGGAAUUCCCGGUGUAGCGGUGAAAUGCGUAGAUAUCGGGAGGAACGCCUGUGGCGAAAGCGGCGCACUGGACCACAACUGACGCUGAGGCGCGAAAGCUAGGGGAGCAAACAGG
Molecule: ribosomal RNA, 253 nt
Filed under: uncultured bacterium
Lineage: Bacteria
Description: partial 16S ribosomal RNA
Rfam family: Bacterial small subunit ribosomal RNA
Source: RNAcentral